This is a long non-coding RNA of Daphnia pulicaria, 446 nucleotides long. RefSeq lists it as uncharacterized. The transcript is spliced from 4 exons. Lineage: Eukaryota; Metazoa; Arthropoda; Branchiopoda; Diplostraca; Daphniidae. The record is from RefSeq and is a predicted model, not a curated record.
AUUACUUUUGUGACUUUUUUACUAUCUAAAGCCGGUCAGUUUUGGACGUGUCUAAUAGAUGGCGUGAAGGAUAUUGUGUUGAUAUGUGCUUAUGGCGGCUCGUUGUCAACAGUUCAGCCACAGCUAUUUUUUUCAAAAAUUACCAAUGAAUUCGUUGGAGAAAAUGUGAAAGGGGCGUGUAGCCUACUGUCAACUAUUGUGCUGUAAAUCCUGGUAGCUAUCCUACUGAAUGUGUCAUCCAAAUGACAGAGAAUUCAUCAUAAAUAUCGACUGAUUAUAUUGGACUUGCUAGAUCACCAACUCCAGCAUAGACCAAUCUCUCAUUCCAUCUUCUUAACCUUGGAUAACUGAUUGGUUCUUGGGUUUGUAAUUUUGCAUGACAAACUUUAUGAGAAGUCACGUUUUUGAAGAAAAAGGACAAUGAGUAUACAGUCAACACGGUCCUU